AAAUAGAACUUUGCAGAGAGAGUUAAGAGGGCGUGAAACCGUUAAUUGGCAAACGAAUCGGAGCCACGAAGUCGUUUCGUUGUUGAGUCCUGCCAGGUUCAGCAGAUGUACCAAAAGUGCAUUUGUGUAUUCCUAGGUGGGGCCAACUUUGUAAGCGUACACUGCAACCAGUUAGACAAUUGGAUAUGGGCUCAGUUGUGUGUGCAGGUAUCGAGAGGGGAUUCGCUUGCGGAUAACUUCUAGUUGGGCAUACAUGAGUGAACCAUACUCCAAAUACUGACUGGCAAAAUGAAAAUCGCACCGCAAGGAGCGUUUCAAAGAAAGCACGUAGCCGCACUGGUGGCCACACGGUCGACCGUUUUGUUCAAGCUCAACAUCUUUGAAUUUGGACUUGCAUCCUACCAAUGGGGUAACUCUUGGUGCUUGUAUAGCUUCCAUCUAAUCGGGUGUUGACUUAGCGAGGCGUUGUUCGGACGUGCAACGAUAGGUUGCUGGUGCGAGUUGCGGGGCAAACUUAUUGGCAGUGAGUAGGUCGGCUUUCCGAACGACCCGUCUUGAAACACGGACCAAGGAGUCUAGUUAGGCAUCAAGUCGAUCGGUCUUGAAUAGGCCAGACUGUGAGCAUUCUUGCGAUUGACGGCGCAGAGACAAUCGUGUGAUCGUGGGUGCAAAACAGCCCUAGCGCGCAACACGUGCCUGUUCGUAUGGCAACUGUAGCAAUAAUUGCCGGACGGAGCAAAGAGAUGCCUGAUUGGUACCCGAAAGAUGGUGAGCUUGGGCAGGUUGAAGCCAGAGGAAACUCUGGUGGAGGACCGUAGCGAUUCUGACGUGCAAAUCGAUCGUCAGACCUGAGUAUAGGGGCGAAAGACUAAUCGAACCAUC
Molecule: ribosomal RNA, 882 nt
Filed under: Abacarus sp. HN235_1
Lineage: Eukaryota; Metazoa; Arthropoda; Arachnida; Trombidiformes; Eriophyidae
Description: partial large subunit ribosomal RNA
Rfam family: Eukaryotic large subunit ribosomal RNA
Source: RNAcentral